RNAcentral lists this ribosomal RNA (330 nucleotides) under uncultured eukaryote. Its description in RNAcentral is "partial 18S ribosomal RNA". It matches the Rfam family "Eukaryotic small subunit ribosomal RNA", at positions 1470 to 1796 of the family's 1831-position model. The record is from RNAcentral.
CCCUUAGAUGUUCUGGGCUGCACGCGCGCUACACUGAAGCGUUCAACGAGUAUUCACCUUGCCCGGGAGGGUUGGGUAAUCUUUUGAAAACGCUUCGUGAUGGGGAUAGAUUAUUGCAAUUAUUAAUCUUCAACGAGGAAUUCCUAGUAAGCGCGAGUCAUCAGCUCGUGCUGAUUACGUCCCUGCCCUUUGUACACACCGCCCGUCGCUACUACCGAUUGAAUGAUUUAGUGAGGACUUCGGACUGGGACCAAUGCGGCUUUCGGGCUGCGUCGGUAUUCUGGAAAGAUGUCCAAACUGUAUCAUUUAGAGGAAGUAAAAGUCGUAACA